RNAcentral lists this transfer RNA (57 nucleotides) under Dipodomys ordii (Ord's kangaroo rat). It matches the Rfam family "tRNA", at positions 8 to 63 of the family's 71-position model. From Rfam's summary of the family: Transfer RNA (tRNA) molecules are approximately 80 nucleotides in length. Lineage: Eukaryota; Metazoa; Chordata; Mammalia; Rodentia; Heteromyidae. The record is from Rfam by way of RNAcentral.
UAGCUCAGUGGUAGAGUGCUUGCCUUGCAUGCAUGAGGCCCUGGGUUCGAUUCCUGA